Molecule: ribosomal RNA, 468 nt
Filed under: uncultured Desulfobulbus sp.
Lineage: Bacteria; Pseudomonadati; Thermodesulfobacteriota; Desulfobulbia; Desulfobulbales; Desulfobulbaceae
Description: bacterial SSU rRNA
Rfam family: Bacterial small subunit ribosomal RNA
Source: RNAcentral
CCCGCACAAGCGGUGGAGUAUGUGGUUUAAUUCGAUGCAACGCGAAGAACCUUACCUGGUCUUGACAUCCCGGAGACCCUUAGGAAACUAGGGGGUGCUUCCAUCUGGAAGAAUCUGGAGACAGGUGCUGCAUGGCUGUCGUCAGCUCGUGUCGUGAGAUGUUGGGUUAAGUCCCGCAACGAGCGCAACCCUUGCCUUUAGUUGCCAGCAGUUCGGCUGGGCACUCUAAAGGGACUGCCGGUGUUAAACCGGAGGAAGGUGGGGAUGACGUCAAGUCCUCAUGGCCUUUAUGACCAGGGCUACACACGUACUACAAUGGCCGAUACAAAGGGCAGCGACACUGCGAGGUGAAGCCAAUCCCGUAAAAUCGGUCUCAGUCCGGAUUGGAGUCUGCAACUCGACUCCAUGAAGUUGGAAUCGCUAGUAAUCGUGGAUCAGCAUGCCACGGUGAAUACGUUCCCGGGUCUU